Heterocephalus glaber (naked mole-rat) is the source of this 2113-nucleotide long non-coding RNA. The record is from Ensembl. Lineage: Eukaryota; Metazoa; Chordata; Mammalia; Rodentia; Bathyergidae.
CCCCCAAGUAGCUGGAGUUACAAGUGUGUGCCACCAUGCCCAGCCACAAACUUAUUUUUUUUUUUUGAAACAGGACUCGUUUAUUUAUUUAUGAUCCGUGUGGGUUACCAAAAAAAAUCUUACGAUGCAGCAAGAUUUUCUUUUUUAAAGAGUAAAGCAGAAAAUGCAGAGAAUGAAAAAUAAGGAUGGGAAAGGCCAGACAUCCCCAGGGGAAAAGCGAGGCCACACCGGACUCGGUUUGGGGGCCGCAGGGGCACCUUGGGCUCUGUUCUGCCAUUGAGGCCAUGCAGGAUCCAAGGAGAAGCCGAGGCUGGAGGGCUGGGGAGCUCGGGCAGGCCUUCGCCGCGGUGGAAGGGCAUCUCCAUUUCAUCUCCUGAUCAGUGAGAAUUCCUUAAAGCAGGGCGCUUUUCUAACUCGUUCCACCUUCAUGAUCUCGCUGAGCCCCGUAGGGAUCGCUAGGGUCGGUGUACGAGGAGGGACAGGCUCUGCGGUUCCUUCUGCUGUCCCCAGGACGAAGCGCCUCUCUAGCCACUCAACCCCCACCCCGCGCCCUUGUGCCCUGAACCCCAUUCGCAAGGAAAUCCCUUCCUGGGGCUCCCCAGGCUCUUCCUCUGCUUCUGCUUCAUGCUCUCCUCAUGUCCUGCUCCAAUGGCAAGCGCGCCGAACGGAGUUCUCUGUGAGGUGCGCAACGGAAGAUCAGGGCUGGGCGAAGAGGCCACUACGGGAGGGGGAGGAGUCGAGGGUCAUAAAAUCCAGCGACAUGCACAGGACACGGGAUCCAGGAGGACCCCAGGGCUCCCGAGCGCUGUCCACAGACCCAAUCAGAAGGCGGUAUUUUCAGUCCUUCCUCGGAACCAGGUGCGGUUCGUAAGACCAAUCAGAAAAGUGCUGUUUUUCAGUCCUGUUGCUAUCUGGCAGGAAGUCCCGUGAGUUUUUGCCUAGCGCAGUCUACACCUGGUUCCGGGCCAAGUGGGUUUUUGACAACUGUCCUGGUGCCUUCUUUGCAUUGGGAGAAGCCAACUCCGGAACUGUGGAUACAAAAGAACCCCUGUCCGCCUCCUUGGGCGCUGUGCGCCUUCUCACGCGCCCGCUUACUCCGCAGAGCGUGAUCUUUUCCGCCUUCACUAAAUGUACGCUUGCGCCGCCUUUUCCGUGUCUCUUGUCUCGUCCACUUCUGUGUUCAGGACACCGAGGAUCCGGAGGGAAUCCCGCGGGACCCCCUAGCUGGUAACAGACAGGCCGUGGGUAGACGCUCCGGUUUCCGCACUGUGGCUAGAUAAACGCGGCUCUCCUAGAGCCAGAAUGAGGCACAGCCUUGAAAGAAACCACAGCCCCAGCGCUUUAUGUUUAAUUUACUUUUUUGAAGAACUGGGAUUGCCCUCCCCGCUUCAGUUAUUCUAAACUAAUGAGACGACCUGAAGGAAUGUACUGAGACCUCUGCGUUCGGUUGGGCUCUCAUCCAAAGAGCUUGGCGUCCCCUGGUGGCCAUGGAAACACAGAGCCUGCACCCCACCCCCACCCCCCGGCCAGGAUCUGCAGCGGGCGGGGAAGCCCGCGCUGGACGUCGCCCUCCUGGUACCAAAGAUUAAACCCAGCGACUAGGACAUGCUGGGCAAGCCCUCUACACCUGAGCUACGCUCCAGAACUUUUUAUUUGAGACAGGAUCUCUAAAUUGCCCAGGCUGCCCUUGAAUUUGAGCCGCUUCCAUGUCAGCCCUCCAAGCAGCUGGGACUGCAGGUGUGCACCAGCACAGCUGGCUUUAAGCAUCUUGCCUGGAAAAAAGAAACCGGGGAAACACUAUGUGCUUAACAAUAUUGGUUCAAUAAAUGAGAGGACAUUCAGACCGUAUGAAGAACAGGAGCGGGUGUCCAAGAUGUAUCAUGUGAGCAAGAUCACACAGUCAUUUCAAGUUACGAUUAUGAAGAUCAACGAAGCAACAUGGAAAAAUCUUAUGAUGUAAAGCGAAGAAUGCAGGACUCCAACCAUCUUGGAAUAUGAAGUGACAGAUUCACUGCAACCAUUCAAGAAGUGCUGGGAGACACAUUCGCUUGUGCUCGCCUGCAGGUCUCAGGAAACGCAGCCACCAGUUUCUCAAAAUUGCUUGCUUUCUCGA